UUUUUUUUUUUUUUUUCUUUCUCUUAGGUAGAUUAGUGCAUUUAAAACCUGAAGUUAAUUUGACCUAAAAUUUUUCUAAGUCUUUGCAGAAAGUUCACUUGUUUCCUGAAAUCAUCUCCUUGAUGAUUUUUUAUGUAACAGUUGUUCAUAUUGUAGGAAUGAUAUAUAUGUCAUCCUGUUACACGCAUCAGGCACUUCAAAAAGACUCCAAGAGAACAUGCCUGAGAGAGAUAACUCCCAAUUAAAAAUGAUUCAGUCCCUCAUUUGCAAUAUUCAGGAUAAAUAUGUGGAAACAUUAGGCUACCAGAUAAAGUAAAGGUAGUUAUUUCCUAGGGUGACUCAGCAAGAUAUUUCUCGAGGAUAUCACAUUUUUUAUAUCGCACAAUUUCUUAGAAUCCAGAUGGCAAGCUGUCUCACUGCUUUUGUUGAAUGGAAAAUAAAAACUGAGUAAUAUUUUGCUCAUCAAGGUUUAGGUCACUUCCUUGGAGCUAUUUGAGUAAGACAUCUUAGAUGGUGAGAAAGGAUUAAAAAAGAAGAUAUCUGGGAGUGGAUACAGCAGGCACAUAGCCCUUAAAACCCUUCCCUCUCUUUUUCCCUUUAUUUCCUUUGCUUUGGGGUCGGGUGAGACAACUACAGCAACAGUUGGGACAAUCUCCACUUAGAUCCUGAAAGACCAGAGAGGUGAAGAACAGGAUAUAAACCUUCAACUGUUCCUGUGGGUCUGCUUCCUUUUCUAAGGCAACCUCGUAUUUGGAGCUUUAGUCAUAAUUCUUCCCAUUCUGAACUGUGAAACAUUUCGGUUUUUAUUUAUUUUUAUUUGAUUUUUUUUUCCUUAAGAAUCAUAGGAUUAGCAGUAGUUGGGCACUGCAUGAAAAAUGAAGUUUACAUAGUUUAUAUUAUGUACAUAAACUAGUGAUUUACAUUGAUUUACACAUGAUUGGUGCCUAAUUUAUUAAUCAGCACGCAGUAUGUAAAUGUGCUGAAAAGAAAUCAAGGUUUAAAAUAAGUUUUCCAUAAUAUUCAUAAACAUUUUCGCUGGUGUAAAUGUUAAACCUAAACCCAACGUUAACACCAGCUUCCUUGCCAAGAGAAAAGUGAUGUACAUUGCUGGGUGAAAACAAAUUCUUUCCUAAAUUUUGGUUGGCGACAUUUGAACAGCAUAGCUACAUGCAAAUGAGAAUAGUUUACUUCUUUUCUGCUAGUAUGCACAUAAAUGUAAACUCCAUUUUGCAUUUAGUGAGAUGUUUACAGAUAUUAUGCCAACCAUGAUGGAAAAUUUACAUCACUGAGGCAAAUGCAGUCUUUGGAGAAGAAAUAUUCUAAACAUUUAAGCAAGGGAGGAGGCUUCCUAAACUGCACUUUUGUUUCUUAAUUCAGGGUCUUAUCUCACCAUUUUUGUGGUAUGUUUCAUAUUUGUCUUCAAAAUAUUAAUAGUUUAUGUAGGUCAGAUAUAGCAUUGUACUUUCAUUUCUCUUAAAAAAUGAUACUGGUAACCAAGACUAAAUGCAGGCUAAAAGUUUAUGAGGAUGAAAAGAAAAAUGAGGACAUGGUUAAUCCCGUUAUACAUGUUUGACAAGCAAAUUUCUUUUUGGCAAAUAAUUACAAAAUGGAAAAAGUGGGGUUCUAUGUCUUUCCACAUGAGCAUAGAUUUUUUUUUUCCAAACAACCAAAUUCAGUACUUUUCUUCCUUUUAAGUUCAAAACAUUAUUCUUAAUUUGUCUUAUAAUACACACAUUAUUGUAAAUAUAGCAUCUAUAAAGAUAAGAUAAAAAAAAUACACACACAUAUAUAUUAUUGUUUUCCACAAAUAAUUCGAGCCCUGCAAAGAACAAAAUGAAAAAUUCAGGGAGACUAGCCAAUAGAAACAGUGAGACCACAACCAACUCAGGGAUGGAAUCUGUGACUCUGGAGGAUUCAAGAAGCUCACAACUUGGUAAAGUAAUAACUCAAAUAAUGUCAUGCUGAGGAGUUUAGCUUCUGUGUGCAAAGGAGGUAAGUCCAUUUUUGAAGGAGAAACAGAUUUUUGUUUGGUCCUCCAAGAACGUGAAAAUCACGAGUACUUUUACAAGGUCUCUAUGAAUAGUCCCAGUAGUCUGACUACGUAGUAAAAAAAUGCCCAUGGCAAGCGAGAAGUCUGUCUGACUUGGAAGAGAAGGCAAAGGUCAAUGGGGCAGUCCUUCCUGACAGAAAACACAUACGGUUUUCUAUAAGCCUUAGUUCUUUUAAGACAGGGGAAUUUUAUGUCUCAAAACAAGCAAGACUUUUUAUCCAACAAGGCAAAACCUUUGCUCAACAAUUGCACAGAGCAUGAUUACAAUUCUGCUGUUGUAAAACCCUGGAUAGUUCUCGUUCUUCAGGAAGCGCCCUGGGUCAAAGUCAUUUCUGUUUUUGUCAACUGAAAGUUGGGUCUAAGGAUUUUUUUUUUUUUUUUUUUUUGAGAAGGAGUCUGGCUCUGUCGCCCAGGCUGGAGUGCAGUGGCCAGAUCUCAGCUCACUGCAAGCUCUGCCUUCCGGGUUUACGCCAUUCUCCUGCCUCAGCCUCCCGAGUAGCUGGGAACACAGACGCCACCCUCGCCCGGCUAGUUUUUUGUAUUUUUUAGUAGAGACGGGGUUUCACCGUGUUAGCCAGGAUGGUCUCGAUCUCCUGACCUCGUGAUCCGCCCGUCUCGGCCUCCCAAAGUGCUGGGAUUACAGGCUUGAGCCACCGCGCCCGGCUAAGGAUUUUGUUU
RNAcentral lists this long non-coding RNA (2728 nucleotides) under Macaca fascicularis (crab-eating macaque). Its description in RNAcentral is "lncRNA (ENSMFAG00000063209.1)". Lineage: Eukaryota; Metazoa; Chordata; Mammalia; Primates; Cercopithecidae. The record is from RNAcentral.